GGAAUGUGGCUCAAGUUCGGGAGGCGUUACCUGUGGAGGGUUUGAGGCAGGCCCAGCAGCGAGGCCACGGUCUGCCGACGCGGGGCCAGGGGCGGGCCCCAGGAUCCGGAGCUUAGGGCGGGGCCGAGUCCGGGUUUGGGGACCGGGAGGCGGGGCCGGUUAGGGCGAGGGUCCCUGGGAUCGUCGGGUCAGGCCUUGGGCCAACGUAGGCACUCUCGCAGUUCCUCCGCCUUCAGGAAGGUCUUUUUGGCAGGGGCCCUACGGGUGCGCGCUUCGGUCCUGGAGGCCUUAUCCAAGCCUCCUCUCCAUCAGCGCCACCCGUCUGGGGUCCGAAAGGAGGGAGCUUUCCCUCUGUCCCCCAGCCUUUGGACUGUCACCAAACAAGCCAUUCGUUCACCAAAUACUUAUUAAGCGCCUACCAGGUACCUGACAAGGGAGAUGUAACGGGUAUCUCUCUCUGCCACCCAGGCCAGAGUUCAGCUGAUGCAGGGCAGGGGAGCCCCCAAGUGGAGCCUAGUGUGUCCGGAACUGGUGG
Molecule: long non-coding RNA, 535 nt
Filed under: Homo sapiens (human)
Lineage: Eukaryota; Metazoa; Chordata; Mammalia; Primates; Hominidae
Description: HSALNT0227192
Source: RNAcentral